AUGGGAGCCUGUCCUUGCCUGUUUCUGUUCACAGUCCUAUUUGUGGAAAAGGCAAGAGUGGGGGCACAGCUUCAGGCCAGAGAAGUUCCUGAUGCUCAGUGUUCCUGGAUGAUAGCCUUUCCACUGGAAGUGCAGUUUUUCUCCCACCGUCUCUCUACUCCAGGGGGAAAGCGAAGUCUGUGGGGACUGGCUUUCUGGGAAGUAGGGAAGAGGAAAGGAACAGACGGGCACAUGCUCAACUUCUCUCCAAGUGAUUCCAAUGACCUUGUCAGUAAAAUCGGGGCAGUGAUAGCACCUGCUUCUGGUACAGGGCGAUGACGCGUUAUCAAGCCCUCGGUACGACGCCUGGUUGUGUGGUAAGUGUUGUUGUUUCUAUCAUUGUGUGCAUAGGUCUGGUGGACUCAGAGCUUAGGUUUCCCGCAUCAAAAUGUUGUUAGAUGUGUACUUAUGCACUGGCCUCAACCCCUUUACCGAAUGUGGAACAUGGUGCAUGGCAUAUGGAUUUUUCCAAGGGCUUUGGUUUAGCAAGAAUAUCAUCCUAGUCUGCUUAGUUUAUAGCAGCUGCCUUUUCUCAUGUGACUGGUGUCCUGUCUCCCUGUAGUUUGAGAACAGAGAUCCUAUCAUUCUAUAAUUAAGAAAAUGUAGAGUGUUUCUUUUCGUUACACUUGAGUUUGAAUCUCAGCUUUUUACAACUAAUGGUAAAAACAUUAAAACACAAUUUUUUCUUGGACUUUUUUAUUGAGAUAUAUUUCAUCUACCAUAAAAACUGUGCUUUAAAGUGCAUGAUUCAGUGGUUCCCUGCAUAUUCACAGAGUUGUGCAACCACCACGACGAUCUAACUCUAGAUCAUUUCAUCAUCCCCCUCCCUCCAAAAAAGAAAAAAAAACCCCAUGCCUACUAGCAGUCACCUGAAUUUCCUACCCCAGCCUCUGGCAACCACCAGUCUGUUUUUGUCUCUGGAGUUGCCCGUGCUGCGUUUCACACAGAUGGGAUUGUAUGGGGCAUGAUCUUUUGUGUCCGGCUACUUUUCCUCAGACUAAAGUUUUCAGAGUUUAACCGUGUUGCAGAGGCAUUGGUAAUUCUUCUUGGGGGGCUGAACGCUAUCUCAUCAUAUGGCCAUACCACCUUGUGCUUAUUCAUCUCUCGGACAUUUGAGUUGUUUCUAUCUUUUGGCGAUUGUGUGGUAUGCAAUGCUGAUAUGAACUUUCAAGUACAAGCUUUUGUGUGGACAUAUGUUUUCAAUACCCGUGGGUACAGACGCCUAAGCAUAAAGUUGCUGGAUCAUACAGUAGCUAUGUUGUAACCUUUUGAGGGACUG
This 1318-nucleotide long non-coding RNA is filed under the name Felis catus (domestic cat). Its description in RNAcentral is "lncRNA (ENSFCAG00000052410.1)". Lineage: Eukaryota; Metazoa; Chordata; Mammalia; Carnivora; Felidae. The record is from RNAcentral.